UCAGCGAAGCUUUUGUCUAGUUAUAUAGCCGCGUUCCCCUUUUUACGUCAACAACCUUCGGAGUUUGAGCCUCACGCUAGUGAUGUUCAUUCAUUCUGUCCUAUUCACUUUCCGGUAGGAUUGUGGUCUACCAUAGUAGAAACGGAUAACGGGUAAUUAGGGUUCGAUUCAGGAGAGGGAGCCUGAAAAACGGGUACCAUAUCUAAGGAAGACAGCAGGCGCGCGAAUUACUCAAUCCCGAUACAGUAAGGAGACAUGA
Molecule: non-coding RNA, 259 nt
Filed under: Penicillium nordicum
Lineage: Eukaryota; Fungi; Ascomycota; Eurotiomycetes; Eurotiales; Aspergillaceae
Description: Eukaryotic small subunit ribosomal RNA
Rfam family: Eukaryotic small subunit ribosomal RNA
Source: Rfam by way of RNAcentral